GGGCCGGCCCUGUGUUUUGGAAGGCCCUAGGCGAACUCGGUGACAUGGGCCCCUAUAUAAAUUUCAACCAAAUUUGACUAUAAUAAUUCAACUGACUCCAUCGACAACAAUAAUAACUAAAUUCGAACCGACUCCAUCGACAACAAUAAUACUAAAAAGAUGGCAAAAUAAAACUAACAUGCCAUGAUUACCUCAAAUAAGAACCAAAUUCAACUGACUCCAUCGACAACAAUAAUACUUCAGUGCUUCAAAAAAAGUUUCUUCGGACGUUUCUUGAUGCAAUAACACUUUCUUUUUUUUCUUCUCCUUUUUUCAGCACCAACAUCUUCUUCUUAGGCAACAUGGCAGGAUAAUGUCCUAAAAUCAUGAAGAAAAGAGGGUACAAAGACUUAAGAAUUUAUAAUCGGAUGAUUGGAACCCUAGACAUACAUGUGGAUAGUUGAAUACGUACGUACUACUGAAAUUGUCAAAUUGGGAUCUGGGGGGAUGGAUUAGGUCAUCAGGAACAUGGAUGGAUCAUGGAUACAUAUACAGGCUGAAGAAACUGACAGAUGGAAUGGAUCAUGGAUUACCUCGUUGGCUCGUUGCAGACUUUGGG
Molecule: long non-coding RNA, 598 nt
Filed under: Triticum aestivum (bread wheat)
Lineage: Eukaryota; Viridiplantae; Streptophyta; Magnoliopsida; Poales; Poaceae
Description: long non-coding RNA (TAES_LNC027120)
Source: RNAcentral